This 120-nucleotide ribosomal RNA is filed under the name Klebsiella pneumoniae subsp. pneumoniae KPNIH18. Its description in RNAcentral is "partial 23S ribosomal RNA". It matches the Rfam family "Bacterial large subunit ribosomal RNA", at positions 2797 to 2925 of the family's 2925-position model. The record is from RNAcentral. Lineage: Bacteria; Pseudomonadati; Pseudomonadota; Gammaproteobacteria; Enterobacterales; Enterobacteriaceae.
CCCUGAGACUUUAAGUCUCCUGAAGGAACGUUAAAGACGAUGACGUUGAUAGGCCGGGUGUGUAAGCGCAGCGAUGCGUUGAGCUAACCGGUACUAAUGAACCGUGAGGCUUAACCUUAC